UUUCACACAGGAAGAAAAUUAUAAAUUAAAAAAUAAGUUUCGUGCGUUUCGUUUUCUACUACAGCUCUGGAACACACAUUGCUCGAACGAAACUUCCUUUUCCGGAAAAGACGCUGGCGAAUUAGGUUUGCUGGUGCCAAUCGUCAACAAUGCCGAAACAGAUUCAAGAAAUCAAAGAUUUUCUUCUUACGGCAAGAAGAAAAGAUGCCAAAUGUAAG
Molecule: long non-coding RNA, 218 nt
Organism: Pomacea canaliculata
Lineage: Eukaryota; Metazoa; Mollusca; Gastropoda; Architaenioglossa; Ampullariidae
Exons: 3
Source: RefSeq, a predicted model, not a curated record